RNAcentral lists this ribosomal RNA (292 nucleotides) under uncultured bacterium. RNAcentral describes it as "partial 16S ribosomal RNA". It matches the Rfam family "Bacterial small subunit ribosomal RNA", at positions 505 to 796 of the family's 1533-position model. The record is from RNAcentral.
GUGCCAGCAGCCGCGGUAAUACGGAGGGAGCUAGCGUUAUUCGGAAUUACUGGGCGUAAAGCGCACGUAGGCGGCUUUGUAAGUAAGAGGUGAAAGCCCAGAGCUCAACUCUGGAAUUGCCUUUUAGACUGCAUCGCUUGAAUCAUGGAGAGGUCAGUGGAAUUCCGAGUGUAGAGGUGAAAUUCGUAGAUAUUCGGAAGAACACCAGUGGCGAAGGCGGCUGACUGGACAUGUAUUGACGCUGAGGUGCGAAAGCGUGGGGAGCAAACAGGAUUAGAUACCCCCGUAGUCC